RNAcentral lists this small nuclear RNA (19 nucleotides) under Arabidopsis thaliana (thale cress). RNAcentral's name for it is "snRNA_13318". The record is from RNAcentral. Lineage: Eukaryota; Viridiplantae; Streptophyta; Magnoliopsida; Brassicales; Brassicaceae.
CUCAGAACCUUCUGUUAUU